GGGUUGUGAGGUUAAGCGACUAAGCGUACACGGUGGAUGCCCUGGCAGUCAGAGGCGAUGAAGGACGUGCUAAUCUGCGAUAAGCGUCGGUAAGGUGAUAUGAACCGUUAUAACCGGCGAUUUCCGAAUGGGGAAACCCAGUGUGUUUCGACACACUAUCAUUAACUGAAUCCAUAGGUUAAUGAGGCGAACCGGGGGAACUGAAACAUCUAAGUACCCCGAGGAAAAGAAAUCAACCGAGAUUCCCCCAGUAGCGGCGAGCGAACGGGGAGGAGCCCAGAGCCUGAAUCAGUGUGUGUGUUAGUGGAAGCGUCUGGAAAGGCGCGCGAUACAGGGUGACAGCCCCGUACACAAAAAUGCACAUGCUGUGAGCUCGAUGAGUAGGGCGGGACACGUGGUAUCCUGUCUGAAUAUGGGGGGACCAUCCUCCAAGGCUAAAUACUCCUGACUGACCGAUAGUGAACCAGUACCGUGAGGGAAAGGCGAAAAGAACCCCGGCGAGGGGAGUGAAAAAGAACCUGAAACCGUGUACGUACAAGCAGUGGGAGCACGCUUAGGCGUGUGACUGCGUACCUUUUGUAUAAUGGGUCAGCGACUUAUAUUCUGUAGCAAGGUUAACCGAAUAGGGGAGCCGAAGGGAAACCGAGUCUUAACUGGGCGUUAAGUUGCAGGGUAUAGACCCGAAACCCGGUGAUCUAGCCAUGGGCAGGUUGAAGGUUGGGUAACACUAACUGGAGGACCGAACCGACUAAUGUUGAAAAAUUAGCGGAUGACUUGUGGCUGGGGGUGAAAGGCCAAUCAAACCGGGAGAUAGCUGGUUCUCCCCGAAAGCUAUUUAGGUAGCGCCUCGUGAACUCAUCUCCGGGGGUAGAGCACUGUUUCGGCAAGGGGGUCAUCCCGACUUACCAACCCGAUGCAAACUGCGAAUACCGGAGAAUGUUAUCACGGGAGACACACGGCGGGUGCUAACGUCCGUCGUGAAGAGGGAAACAACCCAGACCGCCAGCUAAGGUCCCAAAGUCAUGGUUAAGUGGGAAACGAUGUGGGAAGGCCCAGACAGCCAGGAUGUUGGCUUAGAAGCAGCCAUCAUUUAAAGAAAGCGUAAUAGCUCACUGGUCGAGUCGGCCUGCGCGGAAGAUGUAACGGGGCUAAACCAUGCACCGAAGCUGCGGCAGCGACGCUGAUGCGUUGUUGGGUAGGGGAGCGUUCUGUAAGCCUGUGAAGGUGUACUGUGAGGUAUGCUGGAGGUAUCAGAAGUGCGAAUGCUGACAUAAGUAACGAUAAAGCGGGUGAAAAGCCCGCUCGCCGGAAGACCAAGGGUUCCUGUCCAACGUUAAUCGGGGCAGGGUGAGUCGACCCCUAAGGCGAGGCCGAAAGGCGUAGUCGAUGGGAAACAGGUUAAUAUUCCUGUACUUGGUGUUACUGCGAAGGGGGGACGGAGAAGGCUAUGUUGGCCGGGCGACGGUUGUCCCGGUUUAAGCGUGUAGGCUGGUUUUCCAGGCAAAUCCGGAAAAUCAAGGCUGAGGCGUGAUGACGAGGCACUACGGUGCUGAAGCAACAAAUGCCCUGCUUCCAGGAAAAGCCUCUAAGCAUCAGGUAACAUCAAAUCGUACCCCAAACCGACACAGGUGGUCAGGUAGAGAAUACCAAGGCGCUUGAGAGAACUCGGGUGAAGGAACUAGGCAAAAUGGUGCCGUAACUUCGGGAGAAGGCACGCUGAUAUGUAGGUGAAGCGACUUGCUCGUGGAGCUGAAAUCAGUCGAAGAUACCAGCUGGCUGCAACUGUUUAUUAAAAACACAGCACUGUGCAAACACGAAAGUGGACGUAUACGGUGUGACGCCUGCCCGGUGCCGGAAGGUUAAUUGAUGGGGUUAGCGCAAGCGAAGCUCUUGAUCGAAGCCCCGGUAAACGGCGGCCGUAACUAUAACGGUCCUAAGGUAGCGAAAUUCCUUGUCGGGUAAGUUCCGACCUGCACGAAUGGCGUAAUGAUGGCCAGGCUGUCUCCACCCGAGACUCAGUGAAAUUGAACUCGCUGUGAAGAUGCAGUGUACCCGCGGCAAGACGGAAAGACCCCGUGAACCUUUACUAUAGCUUGACACUGAACAUUGAGCCUUGAUGUGUAGGAUAGGUGGGAGGCUUGGAAGUGUGGACGCCAGUCUGCAUGGAGCCGACCUUGAAAUACCACCCUUUAAUGUUUGAUGUUCUAACGUUGACCCGUAAUCCGGGUUGCGGACAGUGUCUGGUGGGUAGUUUGACUGGGGCGGUCUCCUCCUAAAGAGUAACGGAGGAGCACGAAGGUUGGCUAAUCCUGGUCGGACAUCAGGAGGUUAGUGCAAUGGCAUAAGCCAGCUUGACUGCGAGCGUGACGGCGCGAGCAGGUGCGAAAGCAGGUCAUAGUGAUCCGGUGGUUCUGAAUGGAAGGGCCAUCGCUCAACGGAUAAAAGGUACUCCGGGGAUAACAGGCUGAUACCGCCCAAGAGUUCAUAUCGACGGCGGUGUUUGGCACCUCGAUGUCGGCUCAUCACAUCCUGGGGCUGAAGUAGGUCCCAAGGGUAUGGCUGUUCGCCAUUUAAAGUGGUACGCGAGCUGGGUUUAGAACGUCGUGAGACAGUUCGGUCCCUAUCUGCCGUGGGCGCUGGAGAACUGAGGGGGGCUGCUCCUAGUACGAGAGGACCGGAGUGGACGCAUCACUGGUGUUCGGGUUGUCAUGCCAAUGGCACUGCCCGGUAGCUAAAUGCGGAAGAGAUAAGUGCUGAAAGCAUCUAAGCACGAAACUUGCCCCGAGAUGAGUUCUCCCUGAC
RNAcentral lists this ribosomal RNA (2802 nucleotides) under Escherichia coli. RNAcentral describes it as "partial 23S ribosomal RNA". It matches the Rfam family "Bacterial large subunit ribosomal RNA". Lineage: Bacteria; Pseudomonadati; Pseudomonadota; Gammaproteobacteria; Enterobacterales; Enterobacteriaceae. The record is from RNAcentral.